Molecule: ribosomal RNA, 498 nt
Filed under: uncultured bacterium
Lineage: Bacteria
Description: partial 16S ribosomal RNA
Rfam family: Bacterial small subunit ribosomal RNA
Source: RNAcentral
AUUGAACGCUGGCGGCAUGCCUUACACAUGCAAGUCGAACGGUAACCUUGCUUCGGAUGCUGACGAGUGGCGAACGGGUGAGUAAUACAUCGGAACGUGCCCGAUCGUGGGGGAUAACGAAGCGAAAGCUUUGCUAAUACCGCAUAAGAUCUACGGAUGAAAGCAGGGGACCGCAAGGCCUUGCGCGAACGGAGCGGCCGAUGGCAGAUUAGGUAGUUGGUGGGAUAAAAGCUUACCAAGCCGACGAUCCGUAGCUGGUCUGAGAGGACGACCAGCCACGCUGGGACUGAGACACGGCCCAGACUCCUACGGGAGGCAGCAGUGGGGAAUUUUGGACAAUGGGCGAAAGCCUGAUCCAGCCAUGCCGCGUGCAGGAUGAAGGCCUUCGGGUUGUAAACUGCUUUUGUACGGAACGAAAAGACUCUUUCUAAUAAAGAGGGUCCAUGACGGUACCGUAAGAAUAAGCACCGGCUAACUACGUGCCAGCCGCCGCCGUAA